UACAGAGGUCCCAAGCGUUGUUCGGAAUCACUGGGCGUAAAGGGUGCGUAGGCGGUAUGGUAAGACUUGGGUGAAAUCUCCAUGCUUAACGUGGAGGGAGCCUGGGAGACUGCCGUGCUAGAGGAUUGGAGGGGAGACUGGAAUUCUUGGAGUAGCAGUGAAAUGCGUAGAUAUCAAGAGGAACACCAGUGGCGAAGGCGAGUCUCUGGACAAUUCCUGACGCUGAGGCACGAAGGCCAGGGGAUCAAACGGGAUUAGAUACCCCGGUAGUCCUGGCAGUAAACGGUGCACACUUGCUGUGUGGGGGAUCGACCCCUUACGUGGCGCAGCCAACGCGCUAAGUGUGCCGCCUGGGGAGUACGGUCGCAAGACUAAAACUCAAAGAAAUUGACGGGGGCCUGCACAAGCGGUGGAGUAUGUGGCUUAAUUCGAUGCAACGCGAAGAACCUUACCUGGCCUUGACAUGCAGAUAUUAGGAGGGUGAAAGCCCGACGAGUGAGCAAUCACAGUCUGCACAGGUGCUGCAUGGCU
Molecule: ribosomal RNA, 531 nt
Filed under: uncultured bacterium
Lineage: Bacteria
Description: bacterial SSU rRNA
Rfam family: Bacterial small subunit ribosomal RNA
Source: RNAcentral